CUACGGAGGAUCCGAGCGUUAUCCGGAUUUAUUGGGUUUAAAGGGUGCGCAGGCGGCCAUUUAAGUCAGCGGUUAAAUCGUGGGGCUCAACCCCAUUCUGCCGUUGAUACUGGGUGGCUUGAUUGCGGUCGAGGUUGGCGGAAUUCGUUGUGUAGCGGUGAAAUGCAUAGAUAUGACGAAGAACACCGAUUGCGUAGGCAGCUGACCAGAUCGCAAAUGACGCUCAGGCACGAAGGCGUGGGGAUCAAACAGGAUUAGAUACCCUGGUAGUCCACGCAGUAAACGAUGAUUACUCGCUGUUUGCGAUACACAGCAAGCGGCUUAGCGAAAGCGUUAAGUAAUCCACCUGGGGAGUACGUUCGCAAGAAUGAAACUCAAAGGAAUUGACGGGG
This 392-nucleotide ribosomal RNA is filed under the name uncultured bacterium. Its description in RNAcentral is "partial 16S ribosomal RNA". It matches the Rfam family "Bacterial small subunit ribosomal RNA", at positions 523 to 918 of the family's 1533-position model. The record is from RNAcentral.